AUUGAACGCUGGCGGCAGGCCUAACACAUGCAAGUCGAGCGGAUGAAGGGAGCUUGCUCCUGGAUUCAGCGGCGGACGGGUGAGUAAUGCCUAGGAAUCUGCCUGGUAGUGGGGGAUAACGUCCGGAAACGGGCGCUAAUACCGCAUACGUCCUGAGGGAGAAAGUGGGGGAUCUUCGGACCUCACGCUAUCAGAUGAGCCUAGGUCGGAUUAGCUAGUUGGUGGGGUAAAGGCCUACCAAGGCGACGAUCCGUAACUGGUCUGAGAGGAUGAUCAGUCACACUGGAACUGAGACACGGUCCAGACUCCUACGGGAGGCAGCAGUGGGGAAUAUUGGACAAUGGGCGAAAGCCUGAUCCAGCCAUGCCGCGUGUGUGAAGAAGGUCUUCGGAUUGUAAAGCACUUUAAGUUGGGAGGAAGGGCAGUAAGCUAAUACCUGGCUGUUUUGACGUUACCAACAGAAUAAGCACCGGCUAACUUCGUG
RNAcentral lists this ribosomal RNA (484 nucleotides) under uncultured bacterium. RNAcentral's name for it is "partial 16S ribosomal RNA". It matches the Rfam family "Bacterial small subunit ribosomal RNA", at positions 30 to 507 of the family's 1533-position model. The record is from RNAcentral.